GGUUUCAUAGUGUAGCGGUUAGCACGUCUGUUUUACACACAGAAGGUCCUGGGUUCGCACCCCAGUGGAGCCA
Molecule: transfer RNA, 73 nt
Filed under: Pteropus alecto (black flying fox)
Lineage: Eukaryota; Metazoa; Chordata; Mammalia; Chiroptera; Pteropodidae
Rfam family: tRNA
About the family: Transfer RNA (tRNA) molecules are approximately 80 nucleotides in length. Their secondary structure includes four short double-helical elements and three loops (D, anti-codon, and T loops).
Source: Rfam by way of RNAcentral